GGCUAUGAGGGCGAUCUGGCUGUGACACCUGUCACACCGGGGUUGCUUUGGCUGAUCUGGCUGGCUAAGUGGGUGUCCCUGCCUCCGUAACUGCUCCACGUGGAUCCCUCCCAAAGCUGUACACCUGGCAGAAGAUAAUGACCUUCCCCACACAGGAGGCCUUUCCUUCAAUCACGGGUAUACAUAGAGGUAGCUGUGCUCUCCCCUUCUGGAACCUUGGAAUGUGCUCUCAGGUCCGUUUGUAGGAGAACACCGGGUGGUCAGUCUUUUAAGACAUCCGAGCAAGGCUCUGCCUAUGGUG
This is a non-coding RNA of Otolemur garnettii (small-eared galago), 301 nucleotides long. NCBI's taxonomy places the organism in Eukaryota, Metazoa, Chordata, Mammalia, Primates, Galagidae. The record is from Rfam.